This 502-nucleotide ribosomal RNA is filed under the name uncultured bacterium. RNAcentral's name for it is "bacterial SSU rRNA". It matches the Rfam family "Bacterial small subunit ribosomal RNA", at positions 21 to 518 of the family's 1533-position model. The record is from RNAcentral.
GGUUCAGGAUGAACGCUGGCGGCGUGCUUAAUACAUGCAAGUCGAACGAAGCGCUUACAGUCGAUCCCUCGGGGUGAAGCAGUUUGUGACUUAGUGGCGGACGGGUGAGUAACGCGUGGGUAACCUGCCUUAUGCAGGGGGAUAACAGUUAGAAAUGACUGCUAAUACCGCAUAAGCGCACGGCACCGCAUGGUGGAGUGUGAAAAGAUUUUAUCGGCAUAAGAUGGACCCGCGUCUGAUUAGGUAGUUGGUGAGGUAACGGCCCACCAAGCCUGCGAUCAGUAGCCGACUUGAGAGAGUGAUCGGCCACAUUGGGACUGAGACACGGCCCAGACUCCUACGGGAGGCAGCAGUAGGGAAUAUUGCACAAUGGGGGAAACCCUGAUGCAGCGAACCGCCGCGUGAGUGAUUGAAGCAUUUCGGUGCGUAAAGCUCUAUCAGCAGGGAAGAUAAUGACGGUACCUGACUAAGAAGCCCCGGCUAACUACGUGCCAGCCGCCGC